RNAcentral lists this ribosomal RNA (408 nucleotides) under uncultured bacterium. RNAcentral's name for it is "partial 16S ribosomal RNA". It matches the Rfam family "Bacterial small subunit ribosomal RNA", at positions 28 to 526 of the family's 1533-position model. The record is from RNAcentral.
GACGAACGCUGGCGGCGUGCUUAACACAUGCAAGUCGAACGAAGUGGCGAACGGGUGAGUAACGCGUAAUCAACCUGCCCUUCAGAGGGGGACAACAGUUGGAAACGACUGCUAAUACCGCAUACUGAAGGAGGGGAUUGCGUUGGGUUAGCUAGUUGGAGGGGUAACGGCCCACCAAGGCGAGGAUCAGUAGCCGGAUGGAGAGGAUGAGCGGCCAAAGUGGGACUGGGACACGGCCCAGACUCCUUCGGGAGGCAGCAGUGGGGAAUCUUCCGCAAUGGGCGAAAGGCUGACGGAGCAACGCCGCGUGAGUGAUGACGGCCUUCGGGUUGUAAAUCUCUGUUAAUCGGGACGCGGUACCGGAAUAGAAAGCCACGGCUAACUACGUGCCAGCAGCCGCGGUAAUAC